Gadus chalcogrammus (walleye pollock) is the source of this 3702-nucleotide long non-coding RNA. RefSeq lists it as uncharacterized. The transcript is spliced from 4 exons. The record is from RefSeq and is a predicted model, not a curated record. NCBI's taxonomy places the organism in Eukaryota, Metazoa, Chordata, Actinopteri, Gadiformes, Gadidae.
UCGAGAAACUGUCGUGACAUCAGUUACAUGGACUGGAAUGUUCUUAAAGAUGGAGACAGGGAUUCAGAAGGAGAAACACCAGGGGGAGAUGAGGGGGCUCCUCAUCUCAACAACUAAAACUCAACUUCAGUCUGACACAGAGAACCAUGGAACACAUUGAACAGUCCCCUCCAUGCAUCGGGACUCCUCAGGAACAGUUUCAUUUCCAAGAAGGUCCUAUUUGGGGCCAUCCCCAUAUGGAUCCUGCUCCUCAAGAGCCACCCCCCUCCACUGGGUGGUCUUCUGAACAGAUGACCUCCUUCCUGUCCUCAGGCUGACUAAAGCUCUACCGUUUGCAUCUGUGAAGGCCCGUCAUUCAGGAAACCAAUGGAAUACAAAGACAUGACUUCAGAGACGUUGAAUCAACCUGGGACACAUUUUGGAGACGCCAAGCAUAAUCCAUCACCAAUGUGGGACGCCACUGAAGGAUGUUGUACAUAAUUUACAUCUCUGGAGACAUUGGUUGUUCUGUUCUGGGUGCCCUGGCAGGAGAGCUGGGGGGGUGAUGAUGGAAGGUUAUUUGGCAUGAGGUUUUUACCCUGCAUGAUUGUUUGGCCUUUUAUGGCUGAGUGGUAUGUGUGUUUGGGUUUGACAUGAGAUGGAUGAUUUUUGAGCAUCCGUAGGGUUCUACUGUGUGUGUGUGUGUGUGUGUGUGUGUGUGUGUGUGUGUGUGUGUGUGUGUGUGUGUGUGUGUGUGUGUGUGUGUGUGUGUGUGUGUGUGUGUGUGUGUGUGUGUGUGUGUGUGUGUGUGUGUGUGUGUGUGUGUCCCACUCACACCUGGCAUGGGGUUCUACGUGCCUGUCCUGGGUUCUAUGUGUGUGUGUGUCCGGCUUGCUUUGACAGUGAUAAUGUUCAUACGGGGGUCUGUGAUUGGCUUGGGAUAUCGGAAUGGUCAAAUAAAUCAUACCUGAUGGACGGGCACACCUUUACUUGAGGGCCUCCAGUAGACAUGAAGAGCCCUGAGCGACGCUCCGGAGCGAUAUCCAACACACUGGGCAGAAUGGAGAGUACCCAACUCAAGUGUAAAAGGAUGCAAGCGGCGUGUUCAGAUCAGUGACUUCAAACUAGGACUACACCAAUCAGGAUCAAUGGAGGAUGGACACCUAAAGGAAUUCCACAAGGAGAGUCUGACGUUGGAAAGGGACCUAAAUGGAUAUUCAAGAUGACCUUCAGACCUGUAAUGAGACGGCUCUUCCUACCUGGCUGGAUUGAUGGAGAGCCCUGUGGAUUUUGGGUAGCUCUCGGUUGCACGUCUUCUCAGGCUGAACUGUAUUUGUUUCGGACAGGACUAGCUGAACGAUUGGUUCCCUUAAAUCAGAACCAAUCCGGGAACUCCAGCUAGUGCGCUCUUCGAGCUGAAGUUGUGCUCUUCAGCUGAGGAGGUAAGGAUACCUUCACUGGGGCUUCAAGGUGUAAAGAGGAGAAUGUUUCAAAGUGUUCCAUGGUACUCUGAUGAAGACCGUUGUUGUGUUCCACUGGCUGAGAGGAAGAACCCACACAUCAUCCUCUUGGCUUUUCUCCUCUGAGAAUCCUGGCGCCAUCUUGAAGGAUAUUCGAGCUCAUGUAACUGAUGUCGCGACAGAUUCUCAAACACUUGGUUUCUCCUGAGGGGCUUGUCUAUAGAACUGAAGACUUCAGACAGUACUGUAUCCCAGCAUGCAUCUCUGCUCACUCAGACCACACCCCCAUGAGUAGGAUGCAACACUCUAGUGAUGGAGAUGUAGAGUUUUAUAAGUAUUAUCAUUAUAGAUUAAAUUUGCUCUGUAUGGUUUUUACACUGAAUAAUCUAGAUAAUUGUAAAAUGUAGACACGGUUUUGUAUUGAAUGAUUCCAGGAUUUUAGGUUUAAAGUUGUUGUGGGACGUACAUGGUAGUUUGGUUCUUCGUACGGUUUGAGUGAUAUAACUUGUACACACUGGGUGCAAAAUAAUGUAAAGGUACACUGAAUAGUAGUAAUGACCAACAGCAACAAACAGAUCCCCUCAAGGUAAGUCUGUUGGCUGUGUUUUACUGAAGACCAUCGCUGGACUUCAGGAUCUUCCUCCGUUCAGCUCAAGGUGAGGCGCUGGUUCUGUUAUUUCUUUGGUUGGUUCCCGCUGGAAUGUUCGGAUUCCAGUCGGACGGUUUGUGCUUCCCGCCGUGGAAGGUUCUGAGUGCGGUCACUUGAUUUAGUCCCAAUGGUUAGCAUAAAACGUUGUAGUCUUGACAACCAUAAGAAACCACCUGGCAGUUAGUUGGACGGGAGUCCCCUGAGGGAAUCUGGCGGAACGUUCUGGAUUGUAUUUGCGUAACCUUGAGCCGUUGCCAACGGAAACAAUUUUUCACUCCGUUUCCAUUGGGAAUUGUUGCCCCUAUCUUAAACAACUGAAGUUUGAUAUUAAAUACAUACUGACACGUACGUCGUACUAUAUGUUGCUAAUUUCCGUUGGUUGCGCCGUACUUUUAACCACGAUGACGUGACGGGACUCUCACUGCGUACAAAACAGCGUUCUACUUGCGGGCCCAUUUAUGACAUCACUGAAGGCUCAAAAUCAUUUCAAGGAGGAAGAUAAUUUGACAUUUCUUCAACGGAACCCAGCACCUGAAUAUGGCUGAGUAUAUUUGAUUUAAUAUCGAUACUGCUUGGUGUUCUUUGUUGCUUCAGCUUUUGUAUGUUCUAAAUAGCUGCCGUCAUUAAUUGCCACAGAAGUUUAACCCCUGGAUAAUAUCAAAGCUAAAGUAAUGUUCGUCCUUCCCACAUGUUACAGUAGAAGAUACUCUAGAACUGUCAAAGGUUAAAAAGGUAACAUGUAGUUUGUCCCAAGGUGUCUGCCUUCUCACCCAGAGCAAGACCUCCACCUCCUCACUCAGAGCCAGACCUCCACCUCCUGUCAGAAGUCCUCCAGAGCAGGACAGUGCUCUGGUGUUUGAGUAGAGUCUUCUCAGCUGAAAGGCGAGGCUGAGCGGCUGGGGACCGGAGGCUUGUGGUGCCAGGGUGGACCGGAGACUGAGGCUGGAGACCAGGGGCCUGCAGCACCGGACCAGAGGACCAGGAAUCCAUGGCUGAAGGAGCUGAUGGAGGAGCCGUACUGAAGGAGCUGAUGGAGGAGCCGUGCUGACUUACAAACUACACACCUGAGCUGAACCUCACCUGAUCCUGUUUGGUCGGGGGCAGACACACCUUAGCUGAACCCGCCCUGAUCCUGACAUCCUGCUGGUCCCGUCUCCUCAGUUCAUCUGAGCCUCGUCCUCCAGAAGACCUGCUAAGCUCAGCAGUCUGAGGCUGAUGGAUCAAUGACCUCCAGUGGGAGUGAUCUUCUUGACUCCACAUGUAACCGUGUGCUUCCACACGCCUUUCCCUCUCAUCUGUCACUAACCUCACUACUUCACUACUCUCUACUGCUUCCUCUUUUCUUCCUUCUCUGUGGUUCGAACCUUUACACGGAAGGCGCGUCUUCCUGCCCUCAGAGGGUUCAGCGUUAGGGUUGAGAGUCAGGGUUUAGAGUCAGGGACAGAACUGGUCAGGGAGGACUGCUUUUACACAAACCUCUUCACUUGCUUUCGGAAUUGUGGUGACAUUUUGAGAUAAUCAUUUGGGAAAAUGUUUUGGCUUCCUGUUUUUUUUUUUUCUGCUUUCCUUUAAAAAAUUGUAUCAAACUUCUGUCAAGUGUUUUUGUUUAUAUAU